GAGAAAGAGACCAUGAGACAGUCUUUAAAGCCAGGUAUGGGGACAAAAUAUGUCCAAGAUAGGUCCCACUGGCAGCAGCGUUUGGGCACAGAGAGUCCAGUAUAAUACUCAUUCAGAACCAUAUUCGAGGGAACAGCCAAUCAGAGCCUUUUACCACACAGCUGCUCUCCGCCAUCUGGACACUGGCUCUAUGAGCUGAAACUGCGGGGCUCUUUAUUUCCCAGUGGAAUUGACCGAGUGACUGCUGCUUCCAUCCAUCUUUAACAUUCAUUCGCUCGUUCAUUCAUUCAGUCAGUCAUUCAUUCCUUUUCCCACACUUCGGGAAACAACACAACAACGACCAUGAAUUAAGUUCAGGCGGCUACGAUUAAGAGCGAUACGAGCUAUGGCCAUGAUCUACCCUCGCUCCUCCGAACGAAUGCCCGAAUGCCAGGCCGCACGUUCCGCCGCGAGACCGGCAGCUGAGACAGGAUGCAGCACCGAACGGACGAGCCACGUGCUGGUUCGUCACCGCUAGCUUCACACAGUGCCCUCCCCGGCUCUUCAAACGUGACAUAACGCAGCAAUGCACGCCAUCUGCCAUCUCAGUAGUCACAUUUCCUGUUGUAUGUACUCGCGCUGUUUACAUCAAGGCUUCCUCACCCCGUCCACUGAGAAAUUGGUUGUCACAGACAAUAAGCAUACUUAAGAGCACCAAGUCCUCAGAACAUCUGUGAAACGUAGCCUUUUUUAAAAAUCGAGCUGAAAGGGAAUAUAUCAGCCUGCCCAAGGACAACGCAAUUUGCAAUUCUAAGCCUCGCUUCAGUUUGGGAUGAUCAAAGAAAUGUAAUUUGAACAGCCUUUAAAAAUCAAACAACAGGUGAUAGAGAAUACACAAGGCUUACAAGACAUUCUGUUUCUGGCAUAAAAUCAAUUGUGUAGGCCUACUCCGAUAUCUCGCAGUAGGUCUGUGUUCUAACCUGUUCAACUGUAGACCUAAAGCUGAGGAGCAUUGUCUAGACAUUCUGGAUCCACAGGUAUCAGAUCUGUGAUAUGAACUGUGGAUUUACCCCGCAUUAGGUAUUCAUUGCUUUUCAGAAAGUAAUUUCUUACAUGCAAUCAAUCAAUUCUUAGAUAUACAUAAUAUACAAUGGGGUCACUGUUAUACUGUAUAUUCCAAUUUGAGGCAUGCUAAGGUUACGAUUUUUUUGCUCAGUCUUGUAUAUUUUCAUGUUUAAAAUAUACCUCUUUUUUGAUGUGUGACAUGAUUAAUAUUUUAAUUGCAUUAAGUAUGAAAUCCAUAAUUACUUGAUGCAGUCAGAAUUUAUGAGAUGCGAAACCUCAUAAGAACCUCAGAAUUCAUAACAAGAACAGGCCAUACCACCCAUCUAAACUUGUCAUGUACCUACAGGGCCAAAUCUGGCCUGAAGGCCAGCAGUACUGUUGGCUUUCUUUUUGUACCUGCUAGUUAAUUUAUCGGUAAUUGACUGUGAUUGGCCAGAGAUUUAACUCACCUGAUGCCCUAGGUUUAAAUCAGUCCUGAUUAGAGGGGACAAGUAAAAACCAGCAGUACUACGAGCCUUAAGAUUCAGAUCUGAGUAUCCCGGACUACAGACAAGAGCAGGGGUAGUAGAAUCUUGUCUAUAGAAGCCUGAUGUGUCUUCUGGGUUUAAAAUUUUUUUUUUUUUUUUACAUGUUUCAGAAUUUAUAUGGUUAAUGUCACCAAUGACUAGACUAGACUGGUUUCUAAGGCCUAAAUUAGCUGCUGAUGAAAAGGACACUGCAGCACUUGAUUUUGACACCCCUGGACAAGAAGUAUGAGCCUGGCCUUCAGCCUAGACUUGAACUAUCCUAUGGUCUUUGCCACCUCAAUGUUCACAUUUUCAAGUCAUAAUAAACAUCCUGUAAUUAUGCUGAA
Molecule: long non-coding RNA, 1897 nt
Organism: Anguilla rostrata (American eel)
Lineage: Eukaryota; Metazoa; Chordata; Actinopteri; Anguilliformes; Anguillidae
Exons: 2
Source: RefSeq, a predicted model, not a curated record